Long non-coding RNA from Cavia porcellus (domestic guinea pig), 10259 nucleotides. RefSeq lists it as uncharacterized. Lineage: Eukaryota; Metazoa; Chordata; Mammalia; Rodentia; Caviidae. The record is from RefSeq and is a predicted model, not a curated record. The transcript is spliced from 3 exons.
ACUCACUGGCCCCGCCCCCUAACCCUCAUGGCCUCCCAUUGGCCCGGCGUCCUCCUCGGCGUCGUGACGUCCUCGGGCAGGUUGAGGUGUGGCUCGCGUGCUGCUCGCACUGGGCUGGGCGGCCUGCCUUUUCUAAAUGGCAGGCAAGUUCCCGCGCCUUAGUUACGUGUCAUGUGCGGGUAGGGACUGCACAAGCUGCACGGUUCUGCACUCCAGACGGAUUCUCAGCCCGGCGGCGCGACGACCUCUGCCAAGAAUGCCCUUAGGGGAUCUAAAUGCUAUUAAAGAAAAAUGCCCUGGAAUCAGAUUCGAAAAUAACGGGAAAUCUUCAAACCUUGUUUCCCUGUCUCUUCUGUUUCCACGUGAAUUUUAGGAGUGAUUUGCCUAGAUCUAUGAGGUAUGUUGACGGUAUUUUUGUUGAGAUUGCAUUGAAUCUGUAUAAGAGUUUUGGGAGAAUGGCCAUUUUCACAAUAUUUAUUCUUCCCAUCCAUGAGCAAAGGAUAUCUUUCCAUUUUCAGAGAUCCUCUUCAGUCUCUUUUUUUCAGUGAUUAUAAUUUUCCCUGUAUAGAUCUUUCACUUCUUUCGUGAGAAUAAUUCUUACCAGGCACUAUUCUAAGAACCUCGCACACAUUUGUAUAGAUUGUCUAUAUACCAUAAAAAGCUAAGGAGAACAAGAAAUGAAUCCACUAACACAGGCUGAGGUAGACUGGGCAAACCUACUUUGAGGUCACUGAAAUACCAUGCUGUGUCAUGGUUGGUAAAGCUAUUGGGAUCGUUCUUCCCGUCUGUAAUUCCCUUCAUUCUCUCUGUGUCUAGUCCUACCUACUGCAACUUCCAAAACCUGUUGAGGAAGCCUGUCCCCAACACCUCCCCUUGCAGAAUGCAUCACUCCUUCAUGCUACAGCUUAUGCAUGUUUCUGGUAUCGUGUGAGUAACCAGAGUGCCUCCUACACAGUAUGGGUGCAGCCAUUGUGCCUCCUAGUUUAUUCUUCAAAUGCCAAUAUUUGAGCCCACACAAUGCCCUAAUAAUACAGCAGGCGGAAGACAGAUUCUUUUAGCCACAUUCCCUUUAUGCAUUUAAGGUGUGCCAUGUUUAAGAGGGACCUGACAGUAUUAUAGAGAGUUAAGUUACGUUAAAAAAAAAUACUGUACAUAGGCAGAUAGGGCUAGGCGGAGAGAGAGUCAAUACAGUAGGUGAAAACACAUUACAACUGUGGCCAGAGACACACUAGUUGGAAGGCUGCCCUCAAGAUAAGGACAGAAUAACCAGGCCUACAUGCCUUUCCAAGGAUUAGAUAAGUGGUUAAUACCCGAUCCUAUGAAGUCUAGAUAGAUAUUAGUUACCUCAGUGGACCCAUCCUUUUCUGAUUCGUUUUUCUUUCUAUGUACCCUUGUUACAUGACCUUUUUCUCCAUUGGACCAAUAUUACCUAAGUGGUAUACUUACAAUCUUAUUGGUUGAUCAUAGCUCUAAGCCCACAUUUUACCCACCUCAUGAUUUUGCUCUGUAAAUUUUUUCUUUGUGAGUGAGGUCCAUAGCAACACACUUGCAUCAUGUCCUGUCUGUCUUGGGACAUGUCUGUCUAUUGUAAUCAGAGUUUGCAAGAGAAUAGAUUCAAUGUAGUACAUAAUUUAUACGAUUGUUUUAUAAUAUUCAGUCAAAAAGUCAAAUACAGAAGAAUGCAGGAGAUAUGUCCAUAUACUAGAGACCCAAAGAAUCCAGCUGAAGGCCUGGACCCCCCAGCAAAGUCCCACAGAAGUCCAGCUAAAAGCCUAGAGCUCAUGGCUGUGUCCUCCACAAGUCCAACUGUAGAUCUUAGAGCCCAUGACAAUGUCUCCUGCAAGCCUCUUUCACAUCUCUGCACUGGAAAGGCCCAAAGCUCAGUGGUGGAAGCUAGAAAGGCUGUGUCAGUGGUAUAAAAGAUCUGUGCCAGCAGGCUGAGGGAUCUGCACUGGAGCCAGGAAGUGAUGCUAGGUAAGGACCAGAGCUUCCUUGAAGAGAACCUUAGCCGUCCUCAGUGGCAUUAAGGACCUGAGCUCUUCUGAUGAUGAGAAUAGCUGAGUUCACAUCAGGAAAGUUUCUCCAGGAAACAGCAAUAGCCACCACCCCCCCUUCCCCUCCAGUUCUUUUAUGCUGCUGGCAACAAUCCGUAGGUGGGCCUUCCACACUAGAACCAGGCUGAUUCAGUUCAUCUGGGUGUUACAAGUCAACCAUUAGUUAAUCCACCACAAUAUCUCAAUGAAAUUUCCUACUCUUAACCUCCUUUGUUCCUUUAGAAUUUACUUGAUUUUGAAGAACAUAAACUCAGCCCACAGACAGCUAACAGGUUGGGAGUUACAUUUAUUUCUCUUACAUAAUCUGAAGGUUUUAUAGCAAAAGGAGUGGCUCCGUUUAAAGCCACAAGGGCGGCUGUGGCAAAACUAGCCAUGUGUCCUUGAAUUCCAGGAGGUGUCUAUUUUCUGGGGUUAGCUGCCUAUAUUCUAGAACUGUCUUAUAGGAAGGGCACUGGCCAAAUUCUUAGCAGUGAGGAGUCAUGCUGAGGCACUGACUACUGAGUGAUAAUUAGCUUGGGAACAAGGUAGCAAAACUAUUUAGCAGAUGAUCUAAAGAAAACAAAAGGGAAGGUUUUUCCCCCAUAGAUAACUGAUAGUUGGUCAGCUCACUGUCAAAGUCUGGGCCAGAAUGGUAUUUUUCCUGCCUGCUUCAGCUUCACCCUGAUUGCAGACUCUGCAGGCUCGGAAAGGGAGCCUGAGAUUUCAAAAUGAUUAGUUCUUUCUAUUUCCACACACAGCUGGCUACCUCUUGAGUUUAUUCUCAGUAGUGCUAGAUCAGGAUUGGAUCUAACUUUUAUCACCUGAAGAACUUAGCGCUAUUAUCCUCUGUUCUUCCCUAGUGACUAAUUUCCCUAGAAGAAAAAAAAAGCUAAUUAGAUACAGUUUUUUCUUUGUCUUUCCUGAAGAACAACUGAAGUUACUAAUCUAUGCAAAAGAGGGUUGAGAGCUCAGUAAUUCCAAGGCUAUUUGCUUUUUAAUGCUAACCAACAUAGAGAAAAAUGAAAUCACUAGUAGGUCUCUUGUGGCGAUAAACUCUACUGCACACAUGUGUAUCUAUUUAUUUAUGUAUUUAUACAUUUAUUUAUCUUAGUAUUGGAGAGCAAACCCAGGACUUUAUGCAUAUAAUCCAUAUGCUCAACCACCAAGCUAUACCUUAAACCUAUUUUAAUAUAUUUUAUUCCCAUCUUGCAUUAGUCAGCUUUCUGUUAUUAUAAUAAAUGCGAGUUAAUCAACUUCAAAAAGUUUAUUGUCCAAGUUGAGGCUCACAGUUUUGGAAGUUGCAGUCCAUGGUCGAUUGGUCCUAUUGCUUUUGAGACUGUGGCAGGAAGCAGUAUAUAAACAUAAGCAGCAUAUGAUAUAACAAAGUUGCCCACCUCAUGGCUGGAAAGUAAAAAAGAAUAAGGAAGCUUGGGGAUUCCAGCAUCCCAUUUGACUGCAUGUCCCCAAAGACCAGAAGACUACCUGUUAAACUCCAGGUAUUAAAGGUUCCUAUCAGGGGCUGGGGAUUUAGCUCAGCAGCAUAAGCACCUGCCUUGCAAGCAUGCAGUCGUGAGUUCGAUCCCUGGUACCAAUAAAAAAAAAAAAGUUUCUAUCACCUUCCAACCGUGCUAAGCCGGGGACCAAGGCUUUAACACAUGAGCUUUGGGGGUACGCUUAAGAUCCAAACUAUAGGAUAUCUCCUUACUUGGCCUUAAGACUUCUAGAUUAUGCCUUUUGUCUUUACAUGCCAGCACCUAGCAAAUUAUCUAACAUAGUUUUGGUAAUUGUUAUUGCAGUAGUAUUAACCUUUUAUAAGUGUUUCUUCUGACCCAGGCAGAAUAGUAUAUUAUGGUGCAUGUGCAUGAAUUAUCUCACAAAGUGAGUUGUAUUAUUCCCAUUUUUACAAAUGACAAAUUUGAGACUUAGUCAAGACAUUUUCCCCAAAUCAUACAGCUGGUAAGUGGCAGAACUGUGUUUGGUUUCUUUCUGUUGAAUUUAAUGGUGCCCUACUUAGUGAAAAUCUAAUUGAUGAAAUUCAAACACACAGAACCAGUCAAUUAAUUCAUGAACAUUUUCCUUACCGAUUAGAGAAUGCCCUUUCACUACUCCAGGUUUCUACAAGAACUGUUUCCAGGCCCCUCUCAAUGCUUCAACCUUUUUACCUCUGAUGAUACAGAUUAUAUUUGGACAGGAUAACUAGACAUGUCAGAAUUACCUUUGCUGCAUUCUUCCUCUUGAGUGGUGCAGCCUGUAGGGGAAGAUUUUAUCUGCUGCCUUCCCUGCGGGCCUGUCCCAAGCCCAUGGCUGCCCAUAGUUGUGUAACCAUAACUCUUCAAUCUGGAGGUUAGUAUUAGCCAGACCUGCCUGGCUACCAGACCUAAAACCAUUCCUUCCAUCCUGGAUGCUUAUCUUACUCUUUGAUCUUAUCCUCGACUUUUCAAAACAGGGAAAAGGCUGCCUAUUUCUGGAGUUCUCCAGGAGGCCAUCUGCUGCAUCCCCAGAAUCAUCACAGAGUGAAUUAAAGUUUCAUUUUGGGCUCUAAACAAUCUGUGGAGUAGAGGCAGGUUAGAGAAGACAACAAGCAGGCAGAAAUAGUAGAAAGAGGUGAAAGUGGAAACCAAAAACUUCACAAUGAGCCGAAAAUCAUUCAGAAUUAAAGCAAGAAGCUUCACAAGAUAAGUUAAGGGAAAACAGCAAAUUUUGUCAAACCAGGUGUCAUCUCUGACCUGCACUGUGAAAUAGCUAACACAGGUCCCCAUUUGUGCUUUUGCCAAUGUAUAGUCAGAACAACAGCCAGAUAAACUUUUUACUUCUUUUUUUUUUAUCACAUGAGAUGACAUUGGAACAGCCAGAUAAACUUUCAAAAUUAAAUAAUUUUAUUCACCAUCUUAAAAUUCUCUAACAAUUUCUAACUGCAUUUAGAAUAAAGUCCUAAGUCUCUCUAAAUGCAAGUUCUAUUUAAUUCCUACCUCCCUGACCUCCUCUCUUGACCUUCUCUGCUUCAUGUGCCAUGCCUGAUGAAGCUUAUUUCUGCCUCAGGACCUUUAUACUUGCUGUCUUCUGUUUUUAGAACAUGAUUUUAUUUUGAUCCUCUAGAAACUUAAAGAAAGAAGAUAAACCCGAGAAAACUCCAGCCUAGUCUGAAUUGAGCAGUCAUUAUUUUGUUCUAGUAAGUCAAUUGCUAUGAUGGGGAACAUGACCCAUCGACCUAGAGAUAGCCAGAAUUUUCAAGGGAAUGGCCAGAAAUCUGAAAUUUUAUGUAAAAUUCCUUAAUACUUAAAAGUUGACAAUUAUAUCAAACCAGGAUUAUAGCCACUAAUAUAACAUGAAAUCCCAAGCAAUAUUAGCAUAAAUUUAAAAUGUUUUCUUCAUUAAAGGUGGUUUAGAACUGAUCCAGCAUCCCCAGAGAGACCAGGGGUCCAGGUUCCUUCCAGUUUUGUGCUGUUACUCUCAGCCUGUGACACUUCUCUUCAUGACCCAGUACAGUUGUAAGAGAUCUAAACCCCUGGCAUCAGGAUGGAGGGCUGGCUAUAAGACGGAGACAUCUGCUGUUUUAAGGGAAGUAUCACAGAGUACCUCCGCUUAAUAUUGGCUAGAUUUUAGCCUUCAACUAACUGCAGAGCAAGUUGGGAAAUGUAAUCUUUAUGUCAGGGCUUUCAGGAGAGAGAAUAAAGGAAAAAAGACUUUUGAGGGCAACCACUAAUAGUUUUAAGUUAUGGUAGCUGUAUCAGUAGUCAGGGUCAUCUGGAAAAACAGAACCAUUAGGACAAACACAACAAAUCUGAACUUCUUAGGGGAGGCCAGCAGGUGGAAAUUCAAGCAAGAUUUUUAUAUUACUGUGUAGGCAGAAUUCUUUUCUAGACAGCUUCAGAUUUUGCUCUCAAGAUAUUACACCUAGGGCUGGGGAUUUAGCUCAGCAGCAUAAGCACCUGCCUUGCAAGCAGGCGGUCAUGAGUUCGAUCCCUGGUACUGAUUUAAAAAAAAAAGAUAUUACACUUAUUUAAUGAAUACCACCCACACUACUGAGGAUAACAUCCUUUAUUUAAGGUCAACUGAUUAUAGAUGUUAAUCACAUCUACAAAAUAUAUUCACAGACAUUUAGUUUAGUGUUUGCACAAAAUGCUGAGGCUCAUAGCUUAGCCAAACUGACCUAUAAAAUUUACUAGUAAUUUAAACAUUAAAAAAAAAAAAAAACUACAGCGAAACAAUACCUGUUUAUGAGCUGGGCUCAACUUACAGACUCCCAACACCAAGUAUUUUCUCUAAAUGGGACAGCAAGUAGCUUGGCCCCUAAAAUUUUAUACCCCUGUAUAACUGGAGUCACAUACACCAUAAAAAGAACUCUGCCAUUAAGGCACAAAGUCCUGCCCUUCCUAGGAGACUAUGCAUAAAUAGUCUGAGUUUGUUCUUUUAACUGCUGUGCCAGUGAGAUUCUGUUUGACAAACAGAACUUUUUUCUCUAACCUUUUCUAACUUGGGACAUUAUUGCCACUGUAAGACCCAACUUUUUGUUGCUAAGUAGUGAUGUAGAGAAUCUCUGGAGGGUGAGGAGAAAGGAGGAGAUAAUAAACUAGAGGUCACAAAGAGUCCAUGGCUUUUUCAGUCUGUAAUUGCUACCCAGUCCAUCGCCUGUCCCUCUCCUGACCGAGGAAGGUGACCAUUUUACUCUCUUCACAAAGUUCUGUUUAACUUGUGUUUCUCUUUCAACACUGACCUUGAAACAGCCCAGAAAAUGGAAGCACGCUGCAAAAUUGGUUUGUCAUUGACUUGCAAAAGGCUUUAUAUAUUAUGAAUGUUUUUGAGUUUCUUAUAUGUAUUAUGAUUAUUUUUCCUAAUUUUUAAAAUGUUAUGAUAUCUUUCCUUGUAAUGCUGUAUAUGCUUUCAGCUUUGCUGAGUACUGUAUAUUUGGACAAUGUAAGCAUUAGACAUGUGACUAAAAAGGGCCCUCAAAAAGAAUUGAUGCAUAAAUUAUAUCUCAUAAGAAUGUAAUUUCAUUAGAAAUUGAGAAGAUAGACUUAACACUGUUUUGGGAAAAUAUGCACCUUUGUGAUAUUUCUCAAUCCCAGCAAUAAAUUAGUUUUAUGCAACAAUCAUCAUAUGGAAAUAAUGCAUUAUAAUACAGUGAAUCUUUGUUAGACUCCCAUAGGGAGCCAAUCUGGUUUAAAUUCUUUUCCCUGAUGUCUCAGUUUUCAAAAGUAAGUCGUUACUGUGAUUUUGUUUCUACUGCAAAGUUCACCGAGAGCCAUUAUAUCUGAAGAAAUCAAAAAUAGAAAUUGGGUCCAGAUCAUUGUGGUCAUUUAACUAAUCUUUGGGGAACAAAAUAGCUCUCUAGCUUACCGUACCUGAGUAUUUCCUUCUUUUAAAUGGAUUUCAUCUCUGUCAAACUUAUGCUAUUGAUAGUUAAAAAAAAAAAAAAAAUCAUAGUUUGUGUGAGGGUGCUACUCAUUGAAGGCAUUGCCCCAAAUUGUUCUUUUGUGGUAUCAGUCUUGGACAAAAUGAAAACAGAUUUUUCCUCUGCUAAAUUCCUUAGUGCAGCCCAGAGUACUCUUAGUUAUUUUCUUUUUGCUGGGGCAAAGUAACCCACAGUUUAAAGAAGGAGAGGCUUAUUUUGGCUCAUGGUUAUUAGAGGAUUCAGUCUACAGUCAGCUGAGUCCAAGGCAGGAAGGGUAUGGUAGAAGGAUCUGGGGUGGAGGAAGCUGUUCAAGUCAUGGUGGGUGCAAAGCAGAGAGAAAGGGAGGAGUUGGGGAGGGAAUUAUGCCCCUCCACCUCCGAGGCCUGCUUCUGGCCAGGCCGCACCGACCAACAACAGGUUCAGCUACGAAUUAAGACUACGGUUCAUCCAAAGCAACACUUGUUUAAAAGAACCAAAACCAAAACCAAAACCAAGAAACUCCUCUCUUUUGUAAUAUGAUAACUGUAAAUGUAAUUUCUUUUUGUUUUGUUUUUUGCGGUCUUGGGGAUCAAACACAGGCAGGGUCUUGUGUGUUCUUGGCAAAUGCUGCACCACUGAGCUGUGUCUCCAUCUGUGUGUGUGUGGGUGGGUGGGUGUGUUUAUUUUUAAAAGUAUACUGCCUCACACACCUGUGCUCAGGUGAUUUUCCUGCCUUGGCCUCCUAUAGGUAUGUUCUACUACACCAAGUUCUAAAUGUAAUUUCUAAUCUUUUUUUUUUUUUUUUUUUUUUUUUUUUUUUGUAGAUAAGGUCUUGCUCUAUAGUUAAGGCUGGCCUCAAACUUGUAGCAAUUUUCCUGGCUCAACAUCCCAAGUGGUAGUAUUAUAGAAGUGUGCCACUACAUCUGGUUAUUUCUAAUAACCUUAAGAGGUUAUUUGCUUUACAAUGUUACAGCAAUUUUUAAAACUGUAGAAUCUAACCAUUUGAAGAAUUCUAAUAAUUCCUAGAUACACUUUAUAAAAUGUUGCACACACCUUUAAAAAAAUAAUUCAUUGAUAAAACUGACACAUGAACACCAAUAGUCUGUGGCCCAGAGCAUGGUGUAAGUGAUGUAGGGACCAGGUCUAGGGAGAUACAGGCAAGCUGAGCUCCCAGCCCGAAUUCUUGCACUGUUCCUGUGAGAACCUCUUCUUAUCUCUGGAGCCAUGGCCCCUGCCACUGUGAGUACUGCUUCUGCUGCUACCAUGGAUACCUCUGCAGCACUGGCCUAGAUCCUAGCCUCCUUCCUGUACCUGGUGGCCUUGAGGCAUCCAUGUGCAUGCUGGGGACAGUACUGUCAGAACCCAGUGCAUUUAUGCAGGCGUUACGCCCUGGUGAGUUUAUACCAUUCACAAGUAUGAGCCCUGUUCCAUUGAACUUCAUACACCAAAAAGAAGUUCAAAGAUACAAUUAUUAAAAAUUAAGACAGCAACAGGAGAGGAUCAACCGAGGCAUGGCCCCUCCUGUGAGGGGGAUUUUGUGCAGGACACAGGCUCCAGCCCUUGAAGCUGACCCUGCAUACAGUCAGAGUCUUCAAAGUGUCAGAAUUGGGGUAAGUAGAGAAAAGUGAGUAGGAAUGACGGAGGCUGACAGAUUUCCUUCAUGAUCUUAACUAAAAGCAGUAGGUUGUUGAUAAAUCUGCAUCAUUUCCCUACUGGAAUGUGUGUUCUUUGAAAGCAAGAAUCUUAUCUUACAUAACCCUGUAUUCCUCUCAAGACCUACCUCUGUGUGUUACACAUUGUAGAUGUUACUUAAAUAUGAUUCAAUGAUAAAUUAUUCUAUCUUCAAGGCAGUAACAUGCAGAGUCAGAAAUGAUCGUUCUUUUUAUUUAAGGCAUUAAACUAAUCAAAGUUGAUACAAGAACAACCUUGAGACGCUUGCCUGAUCCAGGAGGAGGGUCAUCAUUAGUGUUUCCUGUAAGUACUCCACAGCUGUGCCCUUAAGUAAACUUCCUGGAUUUGUUAAGUGAAAACUGUCUGGCUUUGCCUGCCCUUACAGAGCCCCUGGGUGAGUCGUUCUUUGUUUCUAGGACCUAGUUCUUUUCAGGAUCUAAAAUGAAGAUGGCAAUAUUAUUUACCAAGAGUUUCCAAAGGUAAUUUUAUAAUAUUAUCUGAGAUCAAACCAUGAAAGACUAGUGACUGGGAAAACCUAAUCAGAAUAUACCAUGUGCAAGUGGGAGAUGCUGAGGGCAGUCUGCAAGGCUUAUAAUUUUGCCUAUAAUUUUUUAAGAAAUACUGUUCCUGGAGUAGAAAAAUCAGAGUAAGUAGAAGUAGAAAUUGUGGCAGGCAGCCAAGUUAGUCAGAAAUAUUACAGACAGUGAGACAGGGCUAGGUCCUCAAAGAGCCAGUGCAGAAGCCCGGAUAGUUUGCAACUGUGGGGGAGACAGACCUCCUGUUGUGGGCCUCAAGACAAAGGAUCAAACAAAUGCAUCCACAUCCUAAAGACUGAUAUUCUAAAUAGCUCCCUAUCACCCUGGAGUCACUCUCCCAUCCCCCUAGGGGAAAGGUCACAGCUCCAAGAAUGCCCCUUCCAAUGUGACUGGCUUUCCCAUUUGUCCCCAGUGUAAUCAGUUUUACCUAAACUAUUGAUCUUAUUGGCUAACUAUAGUUAUGUCCCACCUUAUGCCCAUCUGCUUUGUGAGUUCCCAGUCCCCCCACCCCCCACAGCCUUGAUCCCAGGGUUUUACUCUAUAAAAGUCCCUGAAAAAGACAGAACUCUGGGAAACCUGCUCGGGACCCCCUUCAGUCUCUCUCAGACUGAAGCUUUCUUUCUCUCAAUAAAUAUAUUGUGCUCUUAA